This 481-nucleotide non-coding RNA is filed under the name Pan troglodytes (chimpanzee). Lineage: Eukaryota; Metazoa; Chordata; Mammalia; Primates; Hominidae. The record is from RNAcentral.
CAAGACACAUGUCCUGUGUCCCGGGGAGCCAGGCCAGGCCUCGGCACAAACAGGCACCUUCGGCGGGAGAGGCAGACACCGGGCAGGGGAGCAGCUGGGGCCGAGCCCAUCUAAGCCUACCCGCCCUGGAGAACGCAUCUGCUGCCAGGACUGCCCAGCCAUCCACGCACCCCCUCCCCACGAUGCCAGUAUCAGGCCGGGCGAGACUCACCGUUUUCCCGGUGCUGGAAGGAAGGGGAGAACUCUUUGGCAGUGAUCCUGGCGAUCCGCGCCUCCUCCUGGGCUUUCUGAGCCGCCGUGAGGGCUGCCUCGGCCUUUGCCCGAGAGUGGGAGGUCCUGGGGGAGACAGGGAGGAGCGUGAGGGGGGCAGGAGGCACGGGCUGGGCUAAGACAAGAUGCUGGCACCCCGUGUUUACCCUCAGACUUCUGGAUCUUGUUCAUUCAUUCAUUCAUUCAAUAAACAUCGCUGAGCAUCAACCAA